Molecule: ribosomal RNA, 301 nt
Filed under: uncultured bacterium
Lineage: Bacteria
Description: partial 16S ribosomal RNA
Rfam family: Bacterial small subunit ribosomal RNA
Source: RNAcentral
CAGCCGCCGCGGUAAUACAGAGGGUGCGAGCGUUAAUCGGAUUUACUGGGCGUAAAGCGUGCGUAGGCGGCUAAUUGAGUCGGAUGUGAAAUCCCCGAGCUUAACUUGGGAAUUGCAUUCGAUACUGGUUAGCUAGAGUGUGGGAGAGGAUGGUAGAAUUCCAGGUGUAGCGGUGAAAUGCGUAGAGAUCUGGAGGAAUACCGAUGGCGAAGGCGGCCAUCUGGCCUAACACUGACGCUGAGGUACGAAAGCAUGGGGAGCAAACAGGAUUAGAUACCCCCGUAGUCCCUGUCUCUUAUAC